This 279-nucleotide unclassified non-coding RNA is filed under the name plant metagenome. RNAcentral's name for it is "partial contains small subunit ribosomal RNA, internal transcribed spacer 1, and 5.8S ribosomal RNA". The record is from RNAcentral.
UCUCCGUUGGUGAACCAGCGGAGGGAUCAUUACAGAGUUCCACAACUCCCAACCCCUGCGAACCGUACCCCCGUUUGUUCUCGUUGCCUCCUGGCGGCGGGCCCCCGGCGCCACCGCAGGGGCCCCCCUCAGCGGCGCCGAGCCCACUGCACCCUUUUUUCUCAAUCAAUCCGUAUGAGCCAACAAACAUACGGAUCAAUACUUUUAAAAACGGAUCUGUUGGUUCCCGCAUCGAUGAAGAAAGCAGCCGAGCGGCAACGCACACGUCUGAACUCAAGC